This 229-nucleotide long non-coding RNA is filed under the name Elaeis guineensis (African oil palm). RNAcentral's name for it is "long non-coding RNA (EGUI_LNC038362)". The record is from RNAcentral. Lineage: Eukaryota; Viridiplantae; Streptophyta; Magnoliopsida; Arecales; Arecaceae.
CAUAUAACCUCUAUGGGUGAUCUGGUGUUGGCAUAUGGAAAAAGAGCAUCCACCCUAUGAUUCAUAGAUUUUAGUCAUUAAUUUCAUGAAUUCUAGUGGUUCACUGCAGGAUGCAUCUAAAGUGCAUGUCCAAGCUCAUUGGAGUGUGCUAAGAUGCUUGUGACAUGACUACUGGAGAUUUAGAACAAAUAAGGGAAAAAAAACUGCAUGAUUGCAUGAGGAUUUCACG